This 441-nucleotide ribosomal RNA is filed under the name uncultured bacterium. RNAcentral's name for it is "partial 16S ribosomal RNA". It matches the Rfam family "Bacterial small subunit ribosomal RNA", at positions 338 to 795 of the family's 1533-position model. The record is from RNAcentral.
CCUACGGGUGGCAGCAGUGGGGAAUAUUGGGCAAUGGAGGAAAGCCUGACCCAGCAACGCCGCGUGAAGGAUGAAGGCUUUCGGAUUGUAAACUUCUGUCGCGAGGGAAGAAGAAUGACGGUAACUCGUCAGAAAGCCCAGGCAAACCAAGUGCCAACAGCCGCGGUAAUACGUAGGGGGCGAGCGUUGGCCGGAAUGACUGGGCGUAAAGGGAGUGUAGGCGGGAUGUGAAGGUAUGUGUGAAAACCCGCGGCUCAACCGCGGAAUUGCACUUGAAACUGUUGAUCUUGAGUGCAGGAGAGGUAAGCGGAAUUCCUGGUGUAGCGGUGAAAUGCGUAGAUAUUGGGAGGAACACCAGUGGCGAAGGCGGCUUACUGGACUGCAACUGACGCUGAGGCGCGAAAGCGUGGGGAGCAAACAGGAUUAGAUACCCGAGUAGUC